Molecule: long non-coding RNA, 994 nt
Filed under: Musa acuminata (dwarf banana)
Lineage: Eukaryota; Viridiplantae; Streptophyta; Magnoliopsida; Zingiberales; Musaceae
Description: long non-coding RNA (MACU_LNC001627)
Source: RNAcentral
AAAGAAAGAGAUGAUGAUUUAUAUCUGAUGCAGAUUUAUGCAAGUAUGGGGAAAUCUAAGUUGGGGGUGAACCACUUAUUUCAUCAUCCCAUCAAGCAGAAAGUAGAGAAGGGAAAUCUAAGGAAACAUGAGUAACUAAAACAUGCAAAUCUAACACCUUAAUCAUCGACAGCGGAGCCAAAAGAUUAAAGCAAGAUUCUCUUUUUUUUGUUCUUGAAAGCGCUAACGAUGAUCUAAUGUUCAGAAAGGGCAAAGAUCUAUUAAAGUUAACAAGAGAUCUAUCAUCAAAAUCACACCUUGGUGGAAUCGCCCCCGAUCUCUCCAAAACAAGACAUGGUAUGCGCAAGGUAGUAAAGAACCCUGGCGAAGGGGGUGAGAGAGAGAGAGAGAGAGGAAAAGGGGAGACCUUUCGGUAGGUGGUGCCGUCCUCCUCGACGAUCCACCCGGCCUCGUGGCAAAGGGCCUUGAGGACCUCAUUGUUGUCGCAGUGCUUCGGGAGCUUGUAGUUCCCCAUCGCCCGCAGCCCGGAGAAGAUCUGCGAGGCGAUCGCCCGCCGCCGCCGCUCCCUCCGCUUGUUGUUCUCCCUCUCCUUCCACGUCGGCUGCCGCCCUCCUCCCGCCGUCAUCCUUUCCGCCGAUCCCCCCCUCAAAACUCUAUCUUUUAUCCCUCAAGAUCCCUCCUUUUGCCUCACAGAACAAAGAGAUUGGGAUCGAUCGGACGAUCUCGCGGAACGAAGGGAGAAAAAGAGGCAAAUUUUGUUCUUCCUUCUCGAUUUUGUUCUCUCUCUCUCUCCCUCUCCUCCCACACCCCCUGUCCUUCUUGUUGGUUUUGGCCAGAGGAGUCUGAGAUUGCUCACGAGGAAGGUAGGGUUUUCUUAUUGUAUGUAGAUGGCUUAGAUUCCCGUUGUGCCAGAGAGCGCUCUCUCCCCGUGCUCGUCACCCAUCGCUCUUCUUUUGAGGUGAGGACCGGUGAGUAUGCAGUAGAACGAGCAGAA